CUCAGAGCGAACGCUGGCGGCAGGCUUAACACAUGCAAGUCGAACGGGCUUCUUCGGAAGUCAGUGGCAUACGGGUGAGUAACACGUGGGAGCGUGCCCUUCGGUUCGGAAUAACUCAGGGAAACUUGAGCUAAUACCGGAUACGCCCUUAUGGGGAAAGGUUUACUGCCGAAGGAUCGGCCCGCGUCUGAUUAGCUUGUUGGUGGGGUAACGGCCUACCAAGGCGACGAUCAGUAGCUGGUCUGAGAGGAUGAUCAGCCACACUGGGACUGAGACACGGCCCAGACUCCUACGGGAGGCAGCAGUGGGGAAUAUUGGACAAUGGGCGCAAGCCUGAUCCAGCCAUGCCGCGUGAGUGAUGAAGGCCUUAGGGUUGUAUAGCUCUUUUGCCCGGGACGAUAAUGACGGUACCGGAACAAUAAGCCCCGGCUAACUUCCUGCC
This 442-nucleotide ribosomal RNA is filed under the name uncultured bacterium. Its description in RNAcentral is "bacterial SSU rRNA". It matches the Rfam family "Bacterial small subunit ribosomal RNA", at positions 23 to 509 of the family's 1533-position model. The record is from RNAcentral.